AACUAUCUUAUUUUGACAUCUAU
This 23-nucleotide small nuclear RNA is filed under the name Arabidopsis thaliana (thale cress). RNAcentral's name for it is "snRNA_12465". The record is from RNAcentral. Lineage: Eukaryota; Viridiplantae; Streptophyta; Magnoliopsida; Brassicales; Brassicaceae.